RNAcentral lists this ribosomal RNA (519 nucleotides) under uncultured Blastocystis sp. RNAcentral describes it as "bacterial SSU rRNA". It matches the Rfam family "Eukaryotic small subunit ribosomal RNA", at positions 460 to 990 of the family's 1831-position model. The record is from RNAcentral. Lineage: Eukaryota; Bigyra; Opalinata; Blastocystidae.
GGAGGUAGUGACAAUAAAUCACAAUGCGGAACAAUGUUUUGCAAUUGGAUUGAGAACAACGUACAAACCUUAUCGAUAAACAAUUGGAGGGCAAGUCUGGUGCCAGCAGCCGCGGUAAUUCCAGCUCCAAUAGCGUAUAUUAACGUUGUUGCAGUUAAAAAGCUCGUAGUUGAAAUGAAGGGUAGUUGUGUAAUGAAUACAUUCGUGUAUUUUGUUAUUCUACUACCCUCCUUCUAAAUUCGAUAUAUGAGUAUUAAUUUACUUGUAUAUGGUUUUAGACCUUUACUGUGAGAAAAUUAGAGUGUUCAAAGCAGGCAUUUGCUUGAAUAUAUUAGCAUGGAAUAAUCAUGUAUGAUUUUCAUGAUGUAUUUGAUUGGUUUGGUUCAUGAGAAUAAGAUUAAAAGGGACAGUUGGGGGUAUUCAUAUUCAAUAGUCAGAGGUGAAAUUCUCGGAUUUAUGGAAGAUGAACAAGUGCGAAAGCAUUUACCAAGGAUGUUUUCAUUAAUCAAGAACGAAAGU